UACAGAGGUGGCAAGCGUUGUUCGGAAUUACUGGGCGUAAAGGGCGCGUAGGCGGUUCGUUAAGUCCUGUGUGAAAUCCCCCGGCUCAACUGGGGAACUGCACAGGAAACUAGCGGGCUUGAGUUCGGGAGAGGGAAGCGGAAUUCCGGGUGUAGCGGUGAAAUGCGUAGAUAUCCGGAGGAACACCGGUGGCGAAGGCGGCUUCCUGGACCGACAUUGACGCUGAGGCGCGAAAGCUAGGGGAGCAAACGGG
This 253-nucleotide ribosomal RNA is filed under the name uncultured bacterium. RNAcentral's name for it is "partial 16S ribosomal RNA". It matches the Rfam family "Bacterial small subunit ribosomal RNA", at positions 524 to 776 of the family's 1533-position model. The record is from RNAcentral.